Molecule: ribosomal RNA, 253 nt
Filed under: uncultured bacterium
Lineage: Bacteria
Description: partial 16S ribosomal RNA
Rfam family: Bacterial small subunit ribosomal RNA
Source: RNAcentral
GACAGAGGCCCCAAGCGUUAGGCGGAAUCACUGGGCUUAAAGCGUGUGUAGGCGGAUCGUUAAGUGUCUUGUGAAAUCCCACGGCUCACCCGUGGAACUGCUGGGCAUACUGGCGAUCUUGGGCCAACUAGGGGCAGCCGGAACAAGCGGUGGAGCGGUGAAAUGCGUAGAUAUCGCUUGGAACGCCGAAGGUGAAAACAGGCUGCUGGGGUUGCGCCGACGCUGAGACACGAAAGCGUGGGGAUCAAACAGG